UAGCUAGUUGGUGAGGUAAAGGCUUACCAAGGCGACGAUCUGUAGCGGGUCUGAGAGGAUGAUCCGCCACACUGGAACUGAGACACGGUCCAGACUCCUACGGGAGGCAGCAGUGGGGAAUUUUGGACAAUGGGGGCAACCCUGAUCCAGCCAUGCCGCGUGAGUGAAGAAGGCCUUCGGGUUGUAAAGCUCUUUCGGCCGGGAAGAAAUCGCAUGGGCCAAUACCCUGUGUGGAUGACGGUACCGGAAUAAGAAGCACCGGCUAACUACGUGCCAGCAGCCGCGGUAAUACGUAGGGUGCGAGCGUUAAUCGGAAUUACUGGGCGUAAAGCGUGCGCAGGCGGUUUUGUAAGACAGGCGUGAAAUCCCCGGGCUUAACCUGGGAACUGCGUUUGUGACUGCAAGGCUAGAGUACGGCAGAGGGGGGUGGAAUUCCACGUGUAGCAGUGAAAUGCGUAGAGAUGUGGAGGAACACCAAUGGCGAAGGCAGCCCCCCUGGGUCGAUACUGACGCUCAUGCACGAAAGCGUGGGUAGCAAACAGGAUUAGAUACCCUGGUAGUCCACGCCCUAAACUAUGUCAACUAGGUGUUGGGUGGGUAAAACCAUUUAGUACCGUAGCUAACGCGUGAAGUUGACCGCCUGGGGAGUACGGCCGCAAGGUUAAAACUCAAAGGAAUUGACGGGGACCCGCACAAGCGGUGGAUGAUGUGGAUUAAUUCGAUGCAACGCGAAAAACCUUACCUACCCUUGACAUGCCAGGAACUUGCCAGAGAUGGCUUGGUGCCCGAAGGGGAGCCUGGACACAGGUGCUGCAUGGCCGUCGUCAGCUCGUGUCGUGAGAUGUUGGGUUAAGUCCCGCAACGAGCGCAACCCUUGUCGUUAAUUGCCAUCAUUUAGUUGGGCACUCUAACGAGACUGCCGGUGACAAACCGGAGGAAGGUGGGGAUGACGUCAAGUCCUCAUGGCCCUUAUGGGUAGGGCUUCACACGUCAUACAAUGGUCGGUACAAAGGGUUGCCAAGCCGCGAGGCGGAGCCAAUCCCAGAAAGCCGAUCGUAGUCCGGAUUGCAGGCUGCAACUCGCCUGCAUGAAGUCGGAAUCGCUAGUAAUCGUGGAUCAGCAUGUCACGGUGAAUACGUUCCCGGGUCUUGUACACACCGCCCGUCACACCAUGGGAGCGGGUUCCGCCAGAAGUAGGUAGCCUAACCGCAAGGGGGGCGCUUACCACGGCGGGGUUCGUGACUGGGGUGAAGUCGUAACAAGGUAGCCGUAGGGGAACCUGCGGCUG
This 1288-nucleotide ribosomal RNA is filed under the name metagenome. RNAcentral's name for it is "bacterial SSU rRNA". It matches the Rfam family "Bacterial small subunit ribosomal RNA", at positions 242 to 1520 of the family's 1533-position model. The record is from RNAcentral.